This 744-nucleotide ribosomal RNA is filed under the name uncultured bacterium. RNAcentral's name for it is "bacterial SSU rRNA". It matches the Rfam family "Bacterial small subunit ribosomal RNA", at positions 8 to 796 of the family's 1533-position model. The record is from RNAcentral.
AGAGUUUGAUCCUGGCUCAGAACGAACGCUGGCGGCAGGCUUAACACAUGCAAGUCGAACGCGUGUAGCAAUACACGAGUGGCGCACGGGUGAGUAACGCGUGGAUAUCUGCCUUUUGGUUCGGAAUAACCCCGGGAAACUGGGGCUAAUACCGGAUGGUUCCUUCGGGAUAAAGAUUUAUCGCCAAAAGAUGAGUCCGCGUACGAUUAGCUAGUUGGUGAGGUAAUGGCUCACCAAGGCGACGAUCGUUAGCUGGUCUGAGAGGACGAUCAGCCACACUGGGACUGAGACACGGCCCAGACUCCUACGGGAGGCAGCAGUGGGGAAUAUUGGACAAUGGGGGCAACCCUGAUCCAGCCAUGCCGCGUGAGUGAUGAAGGCCUUCGGGUUGUAAAGCUCUUUUGGCGGGGACGAUGAUGACGGUACCCGCAGAAUAAGCCCCGGCUAACUUCGUGCCAGCAGCCGCGGUAAGACGAAGGGGGCUAGCGUUGUUCGGAAUUACUGGGCGUAAAGCGCGUGUAGGCGGUUGCCCAAGUCGGGUGUGAAAGCCUUGAGCUCAACUCAAGAAAUGCACUCGGUACUGGGUGACUAGAGGACCGGAGAGGAUAGUGGAAUUCCCAGUGUAGUGGUGAAAUACGUAGAGAUUGGGAAGAACACCAGUGGCGAAGGCGGCUAUCUGGACGGUUUCUGACGCUAAGACGCGAAAGCGUGGGGAGCAAACAGGAUUAGAUACCCCCGUAGUCC